This 493-nucleotide long non-coding RNA is filed under the name Physcomitrium patens. Its description in RNAcentral is "long non-coding RNA (PPAT_LNC000307)". The record is from RNAcentral. Lineage: Eukaryota; Viridiplantae; Streptophyta; Bryopsida; Funariales; Funariaceae.
UGGUUUAAUUAAAAGAUAUUGAGGUUCUAAACUAUCUUAGGAUUUGAUUUAAGGUUUAAGAUUUGUUUAGGGUUUGAUUUACGUUUUAGGAUUUUAUUAGGAUUUUAUUAGGAUUUGAUUUAGAAUUUCGGAUUUAAGAUUUGAUUAGGAUUUUAUUUAGUAUUUAAGAUUUAAGAUUUAAUUAAGAUUUGAUUUAGGAUUUAAAAUUUGAUUAGGAUUUGAUUAAGAUUUGAUUAAAAUUUAAUUAGAGUUUGAUUUAGAAUCUAAAAUUUGAUUAGGAUUUGAUUUAAGAUUUAAGAUUUGAUUAGGAUUUGAUUUAGAAUUUAGGAUUUGGUUAGGAUUUGAUUAGGAUUUGAUUUAGGAUUUAAAAUUCGUCUAAGGUUUGAUUUAGAGUUUUGGAUUUGUCUAAGAUUUGAUUUAGGAAUUAAGAUUUAUGUAGAAUUUGAUUAAAGUGCAUUAGGAUUUCAAUUAGGAUUAAAUUAGAACUUGAUUG